Molecule: ribosomal RNA, 372 nt
Filed under: uncultured organism
Description: partial 16S ribosomal RNA
Rfam family: Bacterial small subunit ribosomal RNA
Source: RNAcentral
GGAGGGUGCAAGCGUUGUUCGGAAUCAUUGGGCGUAAAGAGUGUGUAGGCGGCGAGGUAUGUCUGAUGUGAAAGCCCAGGGCUCAACCCUGGAAGUGCAUUGGAAACUGCCUCACUUGAGUCUUGGAGAGGGUAACGGAAUUCCUGGUGUAGAGGUGAAAUUCGUAGAUAUCAGGAGGAACACCCGUGGCGAAGGCGGUUACCUGGACGAUGACUGACGCUGAGACACGAAAGCGUGGGGGAGCAAACAGGAUUAGAUACCCUGGUAGUCCACGCUGUAAACGAUGAGCACUAGAUGUCGCGGGAGUUGACCCCUGCGGUGUCGCAGCUAACGCAUUAAGUGCUCCGCCUGGGGAGUACGGCCGCAAGGCUG